AGGACUUCAACAUAGGCGAUCUUGUUCUCCUUUUUAACUCUAGGUUGUGACUUUUUCCUGGUAAGUUGCGCUAAAGAUGGAUUGGCCCUUACGAGGUCUCAAAGAUCCUGAAGUCUGGAGCAGUUGAAAUCAAGAACCACUCUUGUAAUCCUUUCAUAGUAAAUGGGAAAAGGCUAAAGCACUGCCAAGGAGGUGACAUCCCUAC
RNAcentral lists this long non-coding RNA (205 nucleotides) under Lathyrus oleraceus (garden pea). RNAcentral's name for it is "Pisum sativum (pea) long non-coding RNA (PSAT_LNC009790)". Lineage: Eukaryota; Viridiplantae; Streptophyta; Magnoliopsida; Fabales; Fabaceae. The record is from RNAcentral.